AGAGUUUGAUCCUGGCUCAGAAUGAACGCUGGCGGCGUGCAUAACACAUGCAAGUCGAACGAGAAACUCCGGGCUUGCUCGGAGGAGUAAAGUGGCGCACGGGUGAGUAACGCGUGGGUAACCUACCCUUGAAUCUGGAAUAACUCGCCGAAAGGCGGACUAAUACCGGAUAUCGUUCCGGAGGCGCAUGUCUUCGGUAUGAAAGGUGACCUCUUCAUGAAAGUUGCCGUUCGGGGACGGGCUCGCGUACCAUUAGCUAGUUGGUAGGGUAAUGGCCUACCAAGGCGACGAUGGUUAGCUGGUCUGAGAGGAUGAUCAGCCACACUGGAACUGGAACACGGUCCAGACUCCUACGGGAGGCAGCAGUGAGGAAUUUUGCGCAAUAGGGGAAACCCUGACGCAGCAACGCCGCGUGAGUGAAGAAGGCCUUCGGGUCGUAAAGCUCUGUCAAGUGGGAAAAAAGUCAACCGGUGAAUAGCCGGUUGGCCUGAUGGUACCACUAGAGGAAGCACCGGCUAACUCCGUGCCAGCAGCCGCGGUAAUACGGAGGGUGCAAGCGUUGUUCGGAAUUACUGGGCGUAAAGCGCGUGUAGGCGGUUUGGUAAGUCAGAUGUGAAAGCCCUGGGCUUAACCCAGGAAGUGCAUUUGAAACUGCCUUACUCGAGUAUGGGAGAGGAGAGUGGAAUUCCCAGUGUAGAGGUGAAAUUCGUAGAUAUUGGGAGGAACACCCGUGGCGAAGGCGACUCUCUGGACCAAUACUGACGCUGAGACGCGAAAGCGUGGGGAGCAAACAGGAUUAGAUACCCUGGUAGUCCACGCCGUAAACGAUGAGAACUAGGUGUAGCGGGUAUUGACCCCUGCUGUGCCGUAGCUAACGCAUUAAGUUCUCCGCCUGGGGAGUACGGCCGCAAGGCUAAAACUCAAAGGAAUUG
RNAcentral lists this ribosomal RNA (932 nucleotides) under uncultured bacterium. RNAcentral describes it as "bacterial SSU rRNA". It matches the Rfam family "Bacterial small subunit ribosomal RNA", at positions 8 to 912 of the family's 1533-position model. The record is from RNAcentral.